This 253-nucleotide ribosomal RNA is filed under the name uncultured bacterium. RNAcentral's name for it is "partial 16S ribosomal RNA". It matches the Rfam family "Bacterial small subunit ribosomal RNA", at positions 524 to 776 of the family's 1533-position model. The record is from RNAcentral.
UACGUAGGGGGCAAGCGUUAUCCGGAUUUACUGGGUGUAAAGGGAGCGUAGACGGCAGAGCAAGUCUGAAGUGAAAGCCCGCGGCCCAACUGCGGGACUGCUUUGGAAACUGCCCGGCUAGAGUGCUGGAGAGGUAAGCGGAAUUCCUAGUGUAGCGGUGAAAUGCGCAGAUAUUAGGAGGAACACCAGUGGCGAAGGCGGCUUACUGGACAGUAACUGACGUUGAGGCUCGAAAGCGUGGGGAGCAAACAGG